GGCAAGAUGGCCGAGCGGUCUAAGGCGCUGUGUGUUAGUCGCAGUCCGAAAGGGCGUGGGUUCGAAUCCCACUCUUGUCA
This 80-nucleotide transfer RNA is filed under the name Clonostachys solani. It matches the Rfam family "tRNA". Rfam says of the family: Transfer RNA (tRNA) molecules are approximately 80 nucleotides in length. Their secondary structure includes four short double-helical elements and three loops (D, anti-codon, and T loops). Further hydrogen bonds mediate the characteristic L-shaped molecular structure. tRNAs have two regions of fundamental functional importance: the anti-codon, which is responsible for specific mRNA codon recognition, and the 3' end, to which the tRNAs corresponding amino acid is attached (by aminoacyl-tRNA synthetases). tRNAs cope with the degeneracy of the genetic code in two manners: having more than one tRNA (with a specific anti-codon) for a particular amino acid; and 'wobble' base-pairing, i.e. permitting non-standard base-pairing at the 3rd anti-codon position. Lineage: Eukaryota; Fungi; Ascomycota; Sordariomycetes; Hypocreales; Bionectriaceae. The record is from RNAcentral.